This 475-nucleotide ribosomal RNA is filed under the name uncultured amoeba. RNAcentral describes it as "SSU rRNA". The stretch from base 1 to 376 matches the Rfam family "Eukaryotic small subunit ribosomal RNA", at positions 765 to 1116 of the family's 1831-position model. The record is from RNAcentral.
UUUUGAAUGUUAAGGCAUGCAGAUCCAAUUUUCUGCCACCGAAUACAUUAGCAUGGGAUAAUGGAAUAGGACCCUGUCCUCCUAUUUUCAGUUGGUUUUGGCAGCGCGAGGACUAGGGUAAUGAUUAAUAGGGAUAGUUGGGGGCAUUAAUAUUUAAUUGUCAGAGGUGAAAUUCUUGGAUUUAUGAAAGAUUAACUUCUGCGAAAGCAUCUGCCAAGGAUGUUUUCAUUAAUCAAGAACGAAAGUUAGGGGAUCGAAGACGAUCAGAUACCGUCGUAGUCUUAACCAUAAACGAUGCCGACCAGCGAUUAGGAGACGUUGAAUACAAAACACCACCAUCGGCGCGGUCGUCCUUGGCGUCGGUCUUUCGGGGCCGGCGCGGGGGCGGCUUAGCCCGGUGGCACCGGUGAAUGACUCCCCUAGCAGCUUGUGAGAAUUUUAACCAAACAAAAGAAAACCAAACAAAAUAUAAACU